AUUUAAAUAGUUUAUUUAAAAUAUCAGUUUGUGGGGCUGAGGAUGUGAUUUUACACUUUAGAUA
Molecule: transfer RNA, 64 nt
Filed under: Polyphylla laticollis mandshurica
Lineage: Eukaryota; Metazoa; Arthropoda; Insecta; Coleoptera; Scarabaeidae
Description: tRNA-His
Source: RNAcentral